Molecule: long non-coding RNA, 2613 nt
Filed under: Homo sapiens (human)
Lineage: Eukaryota; Metazoa; Chordata; Mammalia; Primates; Hominidae
Description: long non-coding RNA NONHSAT160282.1
Source: RNAcentral
CCUUGGGACCUUGUAUGUAAGAAAACAUUGAGUCAGAAGAGAGCGUUAGUCAUAGGGCUACUGAAACACAAGGUGACGAGAACUAUUAGGCAAUUGAGUGCAUUCCCUGCAGGGCUGCUCCCACUUCUAUCUGACUUGGGUCUAGAUGACUCAAGUGAUUCCCGAGGGGAAAAUAAUCUAUGUGGAACAGCUGUCAUGAGCAGGCCUUCUGCUGCUCUUCAGCCUCAAUUUCAGCCUGCUACUUCCCGUGACAUCAUUCAGUGAUUCCUCCCUUUAAGGGGACAGUUUUCUCUUGUAUUACAGGUGACUACUUGAAGGUGGCUAGACGAGAGCAUACUGCCACCACUCUUUAUUUGGAGGCCUGUAACCUGUCUUGAGUGUGUUGCAGGAAGACUCAGUUACAGUGUUCCCUGAAUAUGUAGCUUUCCAUUACAAUAGUAUGCAAGCCAAGAUGAAACCACCUCUGUUUGGGUUUCAGCAGCUGUCUGCCUACGGAAGGCUCCAGAGUCCCUGACGCAUAUUUAUAUCUCCACUUCACUGAAGUCACAAGGAACAAACAGACACCUGCCAUUUCCCAAAUCUCAUAAAACAUAUAAAUGGAUGAGACCAAAGAGAGGCAUGAGAUUCCAUUCUUAUGAAGGAGACAGACAGGAAAGAGGGCAAGGGAUCCUACUAAUGCAACACAGAGCUCACAAAUGCAUCCUUCCCUCGAGGCCAGAGUGGCAACAGACCAUAGAGCCACCCUUCAACUGAAGCAAGAUGCCCUUCAACUGAAGCAAGAUGCAUGGAGACUGUUUCCACUUAGGAGUCAGAUAAAAGGCCAGAGGAACCCACAUGGCUGUGCAUAAAGGCUCCAGUUGAUAAAUGGAUAAGCAACAGUGGAAACACAGGUUCACAGGAAGCACCUGGCACACAGUAACUAUUAUUAAUUUCUGCACUGGAGGCAUCAGGAAAGCCUUCACGCUAUAGGGGGCCCUUUUAAGUUAAGAAGUUGGAGAGCAAGCCUCGGGGAAAGCAAAGAGAUAACUUAGUAGAAUGGAGCAACCAUACGGGAACAGUGAGAGUCCAUGGAUCUCCCUGGGCUAAGAUCAUGUAUGGAUUUGGCAAUCUGGGGGUGGAAGCCACAUGUGCUGUUAUUAAGUGGAAAUGUCUCGUGAACAUGUGGAAAGUGAUGACUGGAACUUCAGAUGAAAGUCAAAGCUGGAGAUAGGAGAUUCAGAAGUCACCCCACCAAAGAAGGAAUGGUUAAAGCUAUAAGAACUAAUGAGAUCCUAUUUAUUUGCUUAUUCAAUCAACAUAUGUAGAACUAAAUGCUAAGAAUGUAAUGAUAAAUAAGACAGAAAGGGACCUUGCCCAUAUGGUAUUUACAAUCUACUGCCAGUUCAUAAUCUCCUAAAAAAUAAUGUAGAGAACAAUAACAGAAUCAAAGAAAUCUUGAACGUCUAUAUUUAAGGGGUUGAAUGUAAAAGAAAAGGCCUUAAAGGAGGCAGAAAAAUAGCAAUGAGAAAAGUUUGGGAAUUCUAAAACAAGACAGUAUUUCAGAGGAAGAAAACGCAGGUAAUACAUGGGCAAGUUUCACACACAGAGGUGAUGCAUCCUGGUGACCAAUAUUACAAGGAAGAGAGAUGAUGACUGAGGACAGGCUGGUGGACUUGAUUUGAGGUCAACGGUAUGAGGAUAAUUUCAGCAGAGUGGUGGGAUGGAGCGAAACAGCAGGUGUGUCAAUAAUGAGUUAAGCUUUGAGAAAGGGGAGACUUCAGAUGCAGACAACUCAUUCCUGAAUCUGUGCUUCAAAAACAAGAAAAAGCCCAAGAUGUCAGGAUAUCUGCAGGGUCAAGCAAAGCAUUUUUUUCACGAUGGUAAUAGGUAAAAGAGAUUUCUCUAGCCCGCUGGUCUAAGGAUCAGACAGAGGGUGGAGGUGCUUGAUAAGGAUGGUCAUGGCAUUUUUUGCAGACUGAAAUGAUAUUUGAAAACUAAAUGCUAGCCUGUGUUACAGCUACUUACCCGCUGAGGAUCAAACGUACAUUUAUUUGCCCUAUUGCCCAACUUAUGGCUAUGCCAGUAAUGUCCUCUUUUUUUCCUUAUCAUUUCUUUUCAGCUUGUUUUCCCAAACUGUGGUGUUGCCUUGCCCUUGAGAACCCAGCUGAGGUCUAGACUGUUUCAUGGAUCACCUAAGCUUGGAGCUACAGUUGGGCUGCAAAGUUGUUCCUCUAGUGCUGAUACAAGAACAUAGCUGGUCCUCUUGUUCAUAGUGGUAAAAUAUUUUUAAAAUCUGACAUAAACACAACAUAUUAAUUACAGAAAUGAUGGAGAGAGAAUAAAGCUGGGACCCCAGGUUCUGGCGAGGCAAAUGAGAAAGGUGAGCAGAAAGGACUGGUGCAAUCAAUCAUCCUAUACCAGGCACACCCAGUGAUAUUAAAAGCUCAAUGACAUGGGACCUCACCAAUGUCUCACUAACUUAAGAGCGUUUGGGAGGCCUGGGCAAUUGUUGGCUGCGGCACAAGCUCUCUCAGCAGGCAUCGACAGCACAAACUACCAGGCGGACUACUGCCUUUCCUUCUGGACUGCACACAUUGAAAUGUCAAUGAAAUUGAAUGAAAUACCUGCUGACAG